UACGGAGGGGGCUAGCGUUGUUCGGAAUUACUGGGCCUAAAGCGCACGUAGGCGGCUUUGUAAGUUAGAGGUGAAAGCCCGGGGCUCAACUCCGGAAUUGCCUUUAAGACUGCAUCGCUAGAAUUGUGGAGAGGUAAGUGGAAUUCCGAGUGUAGAGGUGAAAUUCGUAGAUAUUCGGAAGAACACCAGUGGCGAAGGCGACUUACUGGACACAUAUUGACGCUGAGGUGCGAAAGCGUGGGGAGCAAACAGG
Molecule: ribosomal RNA, 253 nt
Filed under: uncultured bacterium
Lineage: Bacteria
Description: partial 16S ribosomal RNA
Rfam family: Bacterial small subunit ribosomal RNA
Source: RNAcentral